Molecule: ribosomal RNA, 120 nt
Filed under: uncultured bacterium
Lineage: Bacteria
Description: partial 16S ribosomal RNA
Rfam family: Bacterial small subunit ribosomal RNA
Source: RNAcentral
GACGAACGCUGGCGGCGGGCUUAACACAUGCAAGUCGUACGCGAACGGGUCCUUCGGGACCCUAGUAGAGUGGCGCACGGGUGCGUAACACGUGGGCAACCUACCCUUGAGUGCGGAAUA